GAUGUGACAAUUGAAACAGGCAAAAACCACAAGUUAUUUCCUCUUCAGGAAUUUUGCUUUAAUUAAAAAGAAGAAGAAGCUCAACCGAAGUCCCUACAUCUUCUUGAGCUAGGAACAGUUGAGUUGCAUAGAACCACAGCAUCAAUGACCAGCUUUACCUGGUGUGAAAUUGGUGAACUGCCCCUGGGGAACAGAGGUUAUCCACGUGGGCUGUAGGUUGUAAUCACCACGAAGCUUUUUAGAAUACCAGUGCCAGAGCCCUCCCCUGAAGGUUCUCUUUGCUCUGUCUGUCUUUACUGUGAGCUCUCAGCCUUCACAGAUCUGCUUCAGGCUUGUCAACCCUCUUGUUUCUUCCCUCUCAUCUCCUUUCUUUUCCAUCUGACACACUGCGCAUCAGGUGAAGCCUGUUCACAAGAUUGCCCUGUCGGCACAGCGCUUGAUGGACACAGCAGGUAGUGGGUCUGCCAUCUUGGUGGGCGUAGCAGGAGGCAAGUCUAUUGUCUGGAGCUGGGCAGUCACAGCAAUAAAUCAUUGCCUACUGUUGGUAGCAAUGGCUGGAAUUUGGGUGUUAUGGUCUGACCAUUUGGUGAGCUCUGCACUGGAUGAAUCAUUUGAAGAGAUCCAGUGUCUGUUGGGUGAGACAACAGAGAAGCUAGUUUGUUUGCCUGUUCAUCUAUUUGGGCUCAAAUCAAUCAAGACUGUUGUGUGCCACCAAGAAGGAAGAGAUGCAGGAAGAAGAUAGCCAUCUACAAACCAAAGAACACCUUUGAAGCUACCAGAAGCUAAGAGAGAGGCUGGAACAGACCCUUGCCUAGGGCCGUCAGAGGGAGAAUGGCCCUGCCAACACCUUGAUCUCAGACUUCUGGCCUCCAGAAUUGUGAGAUAAUAAGUUUCUUUUGG
This 900-nucleotide long non-coding RNA is filed under the name Equus caballus (horse). RNAcentral describes it as "lncRNA (ENSECAG00000049738.1)". The record is from RNAcentral. Lineage: Eukaryota; Metazoa; Chordata; Mammalia; Perissodactyla; Equidae.